GGCGGACGGGUGAGUAACGCGUAGGAAUCUGCCUAGUAGUGGGGGACAACAUGUGAAAACGCAUGCUAAUACCGCAUACGCCCUACGGGGGAAAGGAGGGGAUCUUCGGACCUUUCGCUAUUAGAUGAGCCUGCGUGAGAUUAGCUAGUUGGUGAGGUAAAGGCUCACCAAGGCGACGAUCUCUAGCUGGUCUGAGAGGAUGAUCAGCCACACUGGGACUGAGACACGGCCCAGACUCCUACGGGAGGCAGCAGUGGGGAAUAUUGGACAAUGGGCGCAAGCCUGAUCCAGCCAUGCCGCGUGUGUGAAGAAGGCCUUAGGGUUGUAAAGCACUUUCAGGAGUGAGGAAGGGUGUACGGUUAAUACCCGUAUAUUUUGACGUUAGCUCCAGAAGAAGCACCGGCUAACUCUGUGCCAGCAGCCGCGGUAAUACAGAGGGUGCAAGCGUUAAUCGGAAUUACUGGGCGUAAAGCGCGC
RNAcentral lists this ribosomal RNA (477 nucleotides) under uncultured Marinomonas sp. RNAcentral describes it as "bacterial SSU rRNA". It matches the Rfam family "Bacterial small subunit ribosomal RNA", at positions 97 to 570 of the family's 1533-position model. Lineage: Bacteria; Pseudomonadati; Pseudomonadota; Gammaproteobacteria; Oceanospirillales; Oceanospirillaceae. The record is from RNAcentral.